This 75-nucleotide transfer RNA is filed under the name Artocarpus heterophyllus (jackfruit). RNAcentral's name for it is "tRNA-Pro". It matches the Rfam family "tRNA". From Rfam's summary of the family: Transfer RNA (tRNA) molecules are approximately 80 nucleotides in length. Their secondary structure includes four short double-helical elements and three loops (D, anti-codon, and T loops). The record is from RNAcentral. Lineage: Eukaryota; Viridiplantae; Streptophyta; Magnoliopsida; Rosales; Moraceae. RNAcentral also lists the same sequence under 11 other names.
CGAGGUGUAGCGCAGUCUGGUUAGCGCAUCUGUUUUGGGUACAGAGGGCCAUAGGUUCGAAUCCUGUCACCUUGA